RNAcentral lists this ribosomal RNA (411 nucleotides) under uncultured bacterium. Its description in RNAcentral is "bacterial SSU rRNA". It matches the Rfam family "Bacterial small subunit ribosomal RNA", at positions 917 to 1341 of the family's 1533-position model. The record is from RNAcentral.
GGGAGCGCACAACCAGUGGAGCAUGUGGUUUAAUUCGAUACGAAGCGUAGUACCUUACCUGGACUUGACAUGUAUCUGCACGCCCUGCGAAAGCAGGGAAGCCUACGAGGGUGAUACACAGGUGCUGCAUGGCUGUCGUCAGCUCGUGUCGUGAGACGUCUGCUUAAGUGCAGUAACGAGCGCAACCCCUGCCGUAUGUUGAAUAUUCAUGCGGGACUGCCUUACAGCAAGUAGGGAGGAAGGAGGGGACGACGUCAAGUCAGCAUGGCCCUUACGUCCAGGGCAACACACAUCCUACAAUGGGGAGGACAACGGGUUGCGAUCCGGUAACGGUAAGCUAAUCCUUCAAACCUCCUCUCAGUUCGAAUAGUGGGCUGAAAUUCGCCCACUUGAAGUCGGAAUUGGUAGUAA